This 172-nucleotide small nuclear RNA is filed under the name Chelonia mydas (Green sea turtle). Its description in RNAcentral is "U2 spliceosomal RNA". It matches the Rfam family "U2 spliceosomal RNA". Rfam says of the family: U2 is a small nuclear RNA (snRNA) component of the spliceosome (involved in pre-mRNA splicing). Complementary binding between U2 snRNA (in an area lying towards the 5' end but 3' to hairpin I) and the branchpoint sequence (BPS) of the intron results the bulging out of an unpaired adenosine, on the BPS, which initiates a nucleophilic attack at the intronic 5' splice site, thus starting the first of two transesterification reactions that mediate splicing. The record is from Rfam by way of RNAcentral. Lineage: Eukaryota; Metazoa; Chordata; Testudines; Cheloniidae.
UAGGCUUCUCAGCCUAUGUGGCUAAGAUCAAGUUUAGUCUCUGUUCUUCUCAGUUUAAUCUUAUCUGUUCUGAGGCAGAAACUAUACCUUCUAGAACACUCGUCUUGCUUUCCUGAAGAAGACUACUGCUUUGAAGAUGGAUUCUACUGUUACUGCUUCAAAAGAAAAUCUU